Non-coding RNA from Nelumbo nucifera (sacred lotus), 254 nucleotides. The record is from RefSeq and is a predicted model, not a curated record. NCBI's taxonomy places the organism in Eukaryota, Viridiplantae, Streptophyta, Magnoliopsida, Proteales, Nelumbonaceae.
GGCUACUGUGUGUAGGUGCAAAUGGUUUGAGGUCUUAGGCAUUCGGGGAAUGGGUUGUUGAAUCUUCAACGUUGCCAUCAGAUCCGACCGAGUAUCAUCUAGUGACAAUGCAGAUUCAGCCAGGCACAAAGACGGCAACGACAACCUUUCUCGGAGCUAUUGCGGAUGAUGAUUUUGGCAAGGGAAUGACUCUAACAUGGGAUGUUGAUUUUGGACUCGCACGACUUGGCGAUUGCUUCCAGAGAAACGUCAAC